GGGUUGUGAGGUUAAGCGACUAAGCGUACACGGUGGAUGCCCUGGCAGUCAGAGGCGAUGAAGGACGUGCUAAUCUGCGAUAAGCGUCGGUAAGGUGAUAUGAACCGUUAUAACCGGCGAUUUCCGAAUGGGGAAACCCAGUGUGUUUCGACACACUAUCAUUAACUGAAUCCAUAGGUUAAUGAGGCGAACCGGGGGAACUGAAACAUCUAAGUACCCCGAGGAAAAGAAAUCAACCGAGAUUCCCCCAGUAGCGGCGAGCGAACGGGGAGCAGCCCAGAGCCUGAAUCAGUGUGUGUGUUAGUGGAAGCGUCUGGAAAGGCGCGCGAUACAGGGUGACAGCCCCGUACACAAAAAUGCACAUGCUGUGAGCUCGAUGAGUAGGGCGGGACACGUGGUAUCCUGUCUGAAUAUGGGGGGACCAUCCUCCAAGGCUAAAUACUCCUGACUGACCGAUAGUGAACCAGUACCGUGAGGGAAAGGCGAAAAGAACCCCGGCGAGGGGAGUGAAAAAGAACCUGAAACCGUGUACGUACAAGCAGUGGGAGCACGCUUAGGCGUGUGACUGCGUACCUUUUGUAUAAUGGGUCAGCGACUUAUAUUCUGUAGCAAGGUUAACCGAAUAGGGGAGCCGAAGGGAAACCGAGUCUUAACUGGGCGUUAAGUUGCAGGGUAUAGACCCGAAACCCGGUGAUCUAGCCAUGGGCAGGUUGAAGGUUGGGUAACACUAACUGGAGGACCGAACCGACUAAUGUUGAAAAAUUAGCGGAUGACUUGUGGCUGGGGGUGAAAGGCCAAUCAAACCGGGAGAUAGCUGGUUCUCCCCGAAAGCUAUUUAGGUAGCGCCUCGUGAAUUCAUCUCCGGGGGUAGAGCACUGUUUCGGCAAGGGGGUCAUCCCGACUUACCAACCCGAUGCAAACUGCGAAUACCGGAGAAUGUUAUCACGGGAGACACACGGCGGGUGCUAACGUCCGUCGUGAAGAGGGAAACAACCCAGACCGCCAGCUAAGGUCCCAAAGUCAUGGUUAAGUGGGAAACGAUGUGGGAAGGCCCAGACAGCCAGGAUGUUGGCUUAGAAGCAGCCAUCAUUUAAAGAAAGCGUAAUAGCUCACUGGUCGAGUCGGCCUGCGCGGAAGAUGUAACGGGGCUAAACCAUGCACCGAAGCUGCGGCAGCGACGCUUAUGCGUUGUUGGGUAGGGGAGCGUUCUGUAAGCCUGCGAAGGUGUGCUGUGAGGCAUGCUGGAGGUAUCAGAAGUGCGAAUGCUGACAUAAGUAACGAUAAAGCGGGUGAAAAGCCCGCUCGCCGGAAGACCAAGGGUUCCUGUCCAACGUUAAUCGGGGCAGGGUGAGUCGACCCCUAAGGCGAGGCCGAAAGGCGUAGUCGAUGGGAAACAGGUUAAUAUUCCUGUACUUGGUGUUACUGCGAAGGGGGGACGGAGAAGGCUAUGUUGGCCGGGCGACGGUUGUCCCGGUUUAAGCGUGUAGGCUGGUUUUCCAGGCAAAUCCGGAAAAUCAAGGCUGAGGCGUGAUGACGAGGCACUACGGUGCUGAAGCAACAAAUGCCCUGCUUCCAGGAAAAGCCUCUAAGCAUCAGGUAACAUCAAAUCGUACCCCAAACCGACACAGGUGGUCAGGUAGAGAAUACCAAGGCGCUUGAGAGAACUCGGGUGAAGGAACUAGGCAAAAUGGUGCCGUAACUUCGGGAGAAGGCACGCUGAUAUGUAGGUGAGGUCCCUCGCGGAUGGAGCUGAAAUCAGUCGAAGAUACCAGCUGGCUGCAACUGUUUAUUAAAAACACAGCACUGUGCAAACACGAAAGUGGACGUAUACGGUGUGACGCCUGCCCGGUGCCGGAAGGUUAAUUGAUGGGGUUAGCGCAAGCGAAGCUCUUGAUCGAAGCCCCGGUAAACGGCGGCCGUAACUAUAACGGUCCUAAGGUAGCGAAAUUCCUUGUCGGGUAAGUUCCGACCUGCACGAAUGGCGUAAUGAUGGCCAGGCUGUCUCCACCCGAGACUCAGUGAAAUUGAACUCGCUGUGAAGAUGCAGUGUACCCGCGGCAAGACGGAAAGACCCCGUGAACCUUUACUAUAGCUUGACACUGAACAUUGAGCCUUGAUGUGUAGGAUAGGUGGGAGGCUUUGAAGUGUGGACGCCAGUCUGCAUGGAGCCGACCUUGAAAUACCACCCUUUAAUGUUUGAUGUUCUAACGUUGACCCGUAAUCCGGGUUGCGGACAGUGUCUGGUGGGUAGUUUGACUGGGGCGGUCUCCUCCUAAAGAGUAACGGAGGAGCACGAAGGUUGGCUAAUCCUGGUCGGACAUCAGGAGGUUAGUGCAAUGGCAUAAGCCAGCUUGACUGCGAGCGUGACGGCGCGAGCAGGUGCGAAAGCAGGUCAUAGUGAUCCGGUGGUUCUGAAUGGAAGGGCCAUCGCUCAACGGAUAAAAGGUACUCCGGGGAUAACAGGCUGAUACCGCCCAAGAGUUCAUAUCGACGGCGGUGUUUGGCACCUCGAUGUCGGCUCAUCACAUCCUGGGGCUGAAGUAGGUCCCAAGGGUAUGGCUGUUCGCCAUUUAAAGUGGUACGCGAGCUGGGUUUAGAACGUCGUGAGACAGUUCGGUCCCUAUCUGCCGUGGGCGCUGGAGAACUGAGGGGGGCUGCUCCUAGUACGAGAGGACCGGAGUGGACGCAUCACUGGUGUUCGGGUUGUCAUGCCAAUGGCACUGCCCGGUAGCUAAAUGCGGAAGAGAUAAGUGCUGAAAGCAUCUAAGCACGAAACUUGCCCCGAGAUGAGUUCUCCCUGACUCCUUGAGAGUCCUGAAGGAACGUUGAAGACGACGACGUUGAUAGGCCGGGUGUGUAAGCGCAGCGAUGCGUUGAGCUAACCGGUACUAAUGAACCGUGAGGCUUAACCUUACAACGCCGAAG
This 2925-nucleotide ribosomal RNA is filed under the name Escherichia coli. Its description in RNAcentral is "bacterial LSU rRNA". It matches the Rfam family "Bacterial large subunit ribosomal RNA". RNAcentral also lists the same sequence under 1 other name. The record is from RNAcentral. Lineage: Bacteria; Pseudomonadati; Pseudomonadota; Gammaproteobacteria; Enterobacterales; Enterobacteriaceae.